Mustela lutreola (European mink) is the source of this 1964-nucleotide RNA transcript. It is a transcript of the gene named coiled-coil domain containing 181, with no coding region annotated. The record is from RefSeq and is a predicted model, not a curated record. NCBI's taxonomy places the organism in Eukaryota, Metazoa, Chordata, Mammalia, Carnivora, Mustelidae. The transcript has 7 exons.
GGCAGGUGUCCUCGGGCCGCUCUGCGCCUGCGCGGGUGCGCCGCGCGCCCGCAGUGAGAGGCCCGGAUGGAGACGCGGCGGCGCGCCGUUGCUAUGGCAGCCCGGCCCCGGCCGCCGCGGGAGCAGGUGCUGGGGUCUCCGUCGCCGCCCUCCAUGUCCGAGCUGAGAACGAGGAGAGCAGAAGUGCGCCGCCCGCCCCCGUGACCCCAGCCGCCGCGGCCUACUCAGCAUUAUUCUUUAACAAACGGAAAAUGGAAGAAAAUAAAGAUACGGACUCAAAAGAAAGUGGAGAAUAUGAAGACGACUUUGAAAAGGACCUGGAAUGGUUAAUUAAUGAAAAAGAAAAAAGUGGUACCAGCAUAAUAGAGAUGGCUUGUGGGAAUGAAGAGAAUAUUAACCAAGAAUUAAAAGCCAAUGAAACAGAAAUAGAACACACCGAACAACAUUCUGAUCCUGACAAAUCUUCGAAGGAUGAGCUUUCACCAAGAAGAAAUGACUUCAUUUCUGUACCGAGUAUUCAACCUUUGGAUCCCAUAUCAGAUUCAGAUAGUGAAAACUCUUUCCAGGAAUCCAGAGUGGAAAGCCAGAGAGACCUGGAAGAGGAAGAGGAUGAGGAAGUAAGGAGAUACAUUAUGGAGAAAAUUAUGCAAGCCAACAAGAUCCUGCAGAAUCAAGAACCUGUGAAUGAUAGAAGAGAGCGAAAACUCAAGUUCAAAGACAAAUUAGUUGAUCUGGAAGUUCCUCCGCUGGAAGACACUGACACUCACAAAAAUUAUUUUGAAAAUGAAAGUAGUAUGUCAGGAAAACUGUCACAGUUAUGUAUUUCCAAUGAAUUUGGACAGGAAAAUGUGCUCCUGUCACUAACUGAUGGAAACGGUGAAGAAAACAAGGAUAGGAAAAUACUAGUAGAGAGAGAUGGAAAGUUUGAACUUCUGAACUUACAAGACAUUGAGAGUCAGGGGUUUUUGCCCCCCAUUCAUGCUCACGGUACAGAAAAUGAACCUCAUCAGUUGUCCCCCAGAUCUUCCAACUCAAGUGUCAAUGGGGCGAAGAAGGAAGAGUCUAUAGCAAGGAUUCAUGCAGUUGCUCACUCAGCAGCAGAAGAGCCACUGGCUUACAUCCCUCAGCCACCGCCCAACCCCAAGACACGUCCGAGCUCUGCUGUCAACUCAGAUCGAAGUAAGGGUAAUGGGAAAUCUAAUCACAGGACCCAGUCUGCGAAUGUAUCUCCAGUGACCUCAACAUACGGUCUUUCCCCUCGACAGAAAGAACUGCAAAAGCGGCUAGAACUGAAGAGAGAAAAGCUAAAGAGAGAGGAAGAACAACGAAAAAUAGAAGAAGAAAAAGAAAAGAAAAAAGAGAAUGACAUGGUAUUUAAAGCAUGGUUGCAAAAGAAAAGAGAGCAGGUCCUAGAAAUGAGGAGAAUUCAGCGAGCAAAACAAAUCGAAAACAUGAAUAGUAGAUGCUGUAGUGAACAUGUUGGUUCUGCAGGAGAGUGUCUUAAGAGUGGAGUUGAUGACUUGCUGGACGUUCAGGUGAAAUUUUUGGUUAAAUGUGCAAAAAUUAACCUCCCAAAAGGUGUGCCAAUUUCCAGUCCCUUCAACACAGGAAAACAGAGAUCCACAGCAAGCUUUUCGAUUAUGGCUUAAGAAAAAGCAUGAAGAGCAGUUGAAAGAAAGAAAGACAGAAGAACUACGAAAGCAAGAGGAAUGCUUAUUCUUCCUUCAAGGAACAGAGGGCCGUGAGCGGGCCUUCAAACAAUGGCUGCGAAGGAAACGGAUUGAAAAACUAGCAGAGCAACAAGCUGUCAGAGAAAGAACUAGACAGCUCCGACUGGAAGCAAAGCAUUCUAAACAACUACAGAACCACCUGUAUAUGUCAGAAGCCAAAGCAUUUCGUUUUACUGAUCAUUAUAACUGAGAGUAUCUAUUAAACACUUCAUUUGGAAGCUGCUUUUCUCAAAA